GAUGAACGCUGGCGGCGUGCCUAAUACAUGCAAGUCGAGCGAACAGACGAGGAGCUUGCUCCUCUGACGUUAGCGGCGGACGGGUGAGUAACACGUGGAUAACCUACCUAUAAGACUGGGAUAACUUCGGAAACCGGAGCUAAUACCGGAUAAUAUAUUGAAUCGCAUGGUUCAAUAGUGAAAGACGGUUUUGCUGUCACUUAUAGAUGGAUCCGCGCCGCAUUAGCUAGUUGGUAAGGUAACGGCUUACCAAGGGAACGAUGCGUAGCCGACCUGAGAGGGUGAUAGGCCACACUGGAACUGAGACACGGUCCAGAGUCCUACGGGAGGCAGCAGUAGGGAAUCUUCCGCAAUGGGCGAAAGCCUGACGGAGCAACGCCGCGUGAGUGGUGAAGGUCUUCGGAUCGUAAAACUCUGUUAUUAGGGAAGAACAAAUGUGUAAGUAACUAUGCACGUCUUGACGGUACCUAAUCAGAAAGCCACGGCUAACUACGUG
RNAcentral lists this ribosomal RNA (496 nucleotides) under uncultured bacterium. RNAcentral describes it as "partial 16S ribosomal RNA". It matches the Rfam family "Bacterial small subunit ribosomal RNA", at positions 28 to 507 of the family's 1533-position model. The record is from RNAcentral.